RNAcentral lists this long non-coding RNA (664 nucleotides) under Gossypium raimondii (Peruvian cotton). RNAcentral describes it as "long non-coding RNA (GRAI_LNC000301)". Lineage: Eukaryota; Viridiplantae; Streptophyta; Magnoliopsida; Malvales; Malvaceae. The record is from RNAcentral.
UGGUGGAGUUGGAUUAGAAUACUGCUUAUGGGAGUUUGAACUGGUCAUGGAAGGAGUUCGGGAUGAUUAGAUGGAGAAAAUCAAGGAGGGAUAAAGGGAGGGAUUUUAGGAGAAAAUCAAGGUGUUUGUGGGAGAGGAGGAGUUGUGCGCCGUAUGGAGUAUGCUUGAGCCGAAUUUGGUGUAUGACACUGAGGUAAUCGGCUUGGUUGAAGUUGUUUUUCCUCCGCUAGUAUGGUUUCGGUCAGUUUCGUGUAUUUGUUUCUCUGCUUCUAGGUGCCAUUUUUUGUUAGUUUUGGGGUACCUCUCGGGUUGUUUUUACCUAAUUUCUUUUUGGCCGAACACACUCUCCUCCCUCAUCUUUUCUUUUUUUCUUUCUUUUCAUUUUUCUUCUCUUGUUGCCGAUUUUUCUCCUUCCCUUUUCCCUCUUCUUUACUUUGUUUGCCGAAUCUUUUUCUCUUCUCCUUUUUUCUCCAUUAACUGAAUAACCUUCUUUUACUGUCUGUGAUUUCAACCUUCUUUUAUUCUUUUUAACCAAGACAUAUCUCUUUUUUGUUUAAGUGUGGUGUAGCCGAACAUUAUCAUUCGUAGUAUCGUUCUCUACAUUGAUCUUUCUCCGCUGCUUCUUGCGGUUCUUGUGCUGCAGGGUUUUGAUUAUCGGUAAGUG